CUUGGCGGCCAUAGCGCGGUGGUCCCACCUGAUCCCAUGCCGAACUCAGAAGUGAAACG
Molecule: ribosomal RNA, 59 nt
Filed under: Proteus mirabilis
Lineage: Bacteria; Pseudomonadati; Pseudomonadota; Gammaproteobacteria; Enterobacterales; Morganellaceae
Also listed under: 1 other name
Source: RNAcentral